RNAcentral lists this ribosomal RNA (33 nucleotides) under Erica viscaria subsp. macrosepala. RNAcentral describes it as "partial 18S ribosomal RNA". Lineage: Eukaryota; Viridiplantae; Streptophyta; Magnoliopsida; Ericales; Ericaceae. The record is from RNAcentral.
CCGUAGGUGAACCUGCGGAAGGAUCAUUGUCAA